RNAcentral lists this transfer RNA (65 nucleotides) under Pachybrachis sp. idba_138. RNAcentral's name for it is "tRNA-Leu". Lineage: Eukaryota; Metazoa; Arthropoda; Insecta; Coleoptera; Chrysomelidae. The record is from RNAcentral.
AUUGUUUUGGCAGAAUAGUGCAAUUGAUUUAGAAUCUUUUCAUAUAACUAAGGUUAUAGACAAUA